This is a small nucleolar RNA of Dendrobium catenatum, 88 nucleotides long. RefSeq annotates it as small nucleolar RNA J33. The transcript has a single exon. The record is from RefSeq and is a predicted model, not a curated record. Lineage: Eukaryota; Viridiplantae; Streptophyta; Magnoliopsida; Asparagales; Orchidaceae.
CAGUUAGAGGAAUGAUGUAUUACCAAAGAGCACUUAAGCUUCAAGCUUUUCUAGACAUGGCUUCUGAAAGUGGUAAGAAAAAUAGCUG